Molecule: ribosomal RNA, 301 nt
Filed under: uncultured bacterium
Lineage: Bacteria
Description: partial 16S ribosomal RNA
Rfam family: Bacterial small subunit ribosomal RNA
Source: RNAcentral
CAGUAGCCGCGGUAAUACGUAGGGUGCGAGCGUUAAUCGGAAUUAUUGGGCGUAAAGCGUGCGCAGGCGGUUGUGUAAGACAGAUGUGAAAUCCCCGAGCUUAACUCGGGAACUGCAUUUGAAACUGGCAAGCUAGAGUCUCGUAGAGGGGGGUAGAAUUCCAGGUGUAGCGGUGAAAUGCGUAGAGAUCUGGAGGAAUACCGGUGGCGAAGGCGGCCCCCUGGACGAAGACUGACGCUCAGGUACGAAAGCGUGGGGAGCAAACAGGAUUAGAUACCCCUGUAGUCCCUGUCUCUUAUAC